CAAAAUGAUGUUUUCUUUUACCAUGGACAAUGCGGUUUCAUAAAACAAAACUCAUGCAAAGAUCACAAAGACAAGAAGUUAAUUGUUGGAAGAUAACAACCACAAAACAAGUGCACAUAGCAACCUUACCUUGUUCAAACAACGGUCAAAGUUAGUAGCAGUAUGCUAGGUAGAGAUAGCAAAAGUAGCAGCAGACUUAGACAAUCAUCAUGCUCAUGUCCACCCAGAAUGGUUAAAAUUUCAGCUGAGCCUUCAUCAUCUUCUUCUUCUUCUUCUUCUUCUUUCUCUUCUACAGCACGGCUUAAAAGACACGAUGUUUUCAUCAGUUUUAGAGGUGAGGACACGCGCAACAGCUUCACAAGCCAUCUCUAUGCAGCCUUUCAGCACAAGAACAUCCAAGCCUUCAUAGAUAACAGGUUUCACAAAGGGGAUAUGAUCUCUUCCUCUAUUUUUGAAGCCAUCAAACACUCCAACGUUUCUCUUGUUGUUCUCUCCAAGUACUAUGCUUCCUCCACGUGGUGUUUGCGUGAACUCGCCAAAAUACUUCAACUCAGGAAACGUGGAGAACACAUUGUGAUACCUGUUUUCUAUAAGAUUGACCCUUCCCAUGUAAGGAAGCAGACAGGAACUUACGGAAUGGCGUUUCAAAAAUAUAAAGAAGAUGUCAAACAAAACAUGGCCAUGUUGCAGAAAUGGAAAGCUGCUCUCACUGAAGUGGCAGAUAUAGUUGGGUGGGAAUCAAAGAAUUUUAGGACGGAGAAUGAACUCAUUCAGGAAAUUGUCAAAGACGUUAUGCAAAAACUAAACCAUAUGUAUCCCACUGAAGUAAAAACACUUGUUGGAAUUGAUCAAAAUCUUGCUCCUAUUGAAUCAUUAUUAAGACUAAGGUCAAAAGAAGUUCGCAUAAUUGGAAUUUGGGGAAUGGGUGGACUAGGUAAGACAACCAUUGCGAGAGCUUUAUUUGACAAAUUAUCAUCUCAAUUUGAAGCUAGUUGCUUCUUGGCAAAUGUAAUGGCAGAACAUGAAAAGCAAGGACUUGAUUAUUUGCGCAAUAAACUUCUUUCUGAGAUAUUAGAAGAUGUGAAUCCCCGUAUAAGCACUUCCAAAGUGAGAUCUACGUUUGUUAUGAAGAGGCUUAGACAGAAAAAGGUUUUGAUAGUACUUGAUGAUGUGGACGAUCCAAAGAAACUCGAAGAUCUUGCUGCACAACAUGAUUGCUUGGGAUCUGGGAGUAGGGUCAUUGUCACUACAAGAGACAAGCAUGUCCUUAGCAAAGGGGUAGAUGCAAUCUAUGAGGUUAAGGGAUUGUCCCUUGAUCAUGCUGUUAGGCUUUUUAGUUUAAAGGCCUUCGGGAAAACUUAUCCUGAAAGGGGCUUUGAAAUGCUGUCUAAACAGGCAGUUGAUCAUGCAAAUGGAAAUCCAUUGGCUUUAAAAGUUUUAGGUUCAGUUCUCCAUUCCAGAAAUGAGCAGCAAUGGGACAAUGCUAUGAGAAAAUUCAAGAAGGUUCCUAAUGCUGAAAUUCAGAAUGUCUUGAGAUGGAGUUAUGAUGGAUUAGAUUAUGAACAAAAGAACAUGUUCCUGGACAUUGCAUGCUUUUUCCGAGGAGAAAAUAAAGAAAAUGUUAUAAGGUUGCUCGACAUUUGUGGUUUCUAUGCAUAUAUUGGUAUAAAAAUCCUUCUAGAAAAAGGUCUUAUUACUUUUUCUGAUGAUGGUGACGUGUGUAUGCAUGAAUUGAUACAGGAAAUGGGUUGGGAAAUUGUUCAUCAGGAAUCUAUCAAAGAUCCUGGAAGUCGCAGCCGACUGUGGGAUCUUAAAGAAGUCUAUGAUGUGUUGAAAAAUAACAGGGGAACUGAAGCAGUUGAAGGCAUAAUCUUAGAUGUGUCUCAAAUAAGAGUCCUGCUGCUGAGCUGUGAGACUUUCUCAAGGAUGAUAAAUAUGAGAUUUCUCAAAUUCUAUAUGGGGAAGGGUAGAAAAUGCAAUUUGCAUCUUCCUUCAGGUCUCCAAUCCUUGCCUAAUAAAUUAAUGUACCUACAAUGGGAUGGAUACCCUUCCAAGUCUCUGCCAUCAACUUUUUGUCCUGAGAACCUUGUUGUGCUUUCCAUGAUGGAAAGCCACGUUGAGAAACUUUGGGAUGGAACCAAGUGUCUUCCAAGCUUGAAAGAGAUGAACCUCCAUGCCAGCAAAAAGUUAACUAAUCUCCCAGAUUUAUCUCAGGCACCAAAUCUUGAAACUAUAGAUGUUUCUAAUUGCACAAGUCUGCUUCAUGUUCCCUUAUCCAUCCAAUAUGUCAAGAAGCUUCUUCUGUUUAACUUGGAAUCCUGCAAGAGUCUCAAGAGUCUUCCAAGAAACAUUCACUUAGCUUCUCUUGAAAUGUUCAUUCUCAGACGCUGUUCUAGUCUUGAUGAGUUUUCAUUGACUUCGGAGAACAUGACACGCCUAGACUUGAGAGAAACAAAAAUAGCAGAUUUCCCAGAGUCUGUUUGGCAGCAUCUGAACAAGCUUGUUUACUUGAAUCUGGAAUCCUGCAACAAACUCAAGAGUCUUACAAGCAAGAUUCACUUAAAAUCUCUUCAAAGACUCAAUCUGAGAGAUUGUUCAAUUCUCGAAGAGUUUUCUGUGACUUCGGAGAGCAUGGAAUACUUGAAUUUGAGAGGCACGUCAAUAAGAGAAUUGCCAACAUCAGUUUGGCGCAAUAACAAGCUUUAUACUUUGGUUCUUCAUUCCUGUAAAAAACUGGUGAACUUUCCUGAAAGACCAAAAGUUGAGGAUUUACCUCUCGUAUCCUCCUCUGAAAGGCCAAAUAUGGAUGAACUAUGGACUUUGUCAUCCUUAGCAGAUUUAUCACUAAAAGGAAGCACUGUUGAGAAUUUACCUGCAAGCAUCAAAGAUCUUCCUAGUCUAAAAAAACUUACCUUGACUGAGUGCAAGAAACUGCGGUCAUUACCAAGCCUUCCACCAUCCUUGGAAGACUUAUCCUUAGAUGAAAGUAAUAUUGUGUGCUUACCUGUAAGUAUCAAAGAUCUUUCUCAUUUGAGAAAACUUGCCCUAAUUAACCACAAGAAGCUUUUGACUCCACAGGAUCUUCCACCAUCUUUGAAAGCUCCAUUACUCACUGAAAGUAAAGUUGAUCCACACCUUGUGAGCAUGAAAGGUCUUUCUCAACUACAGAUGUUUCCUCAGGUUAAGUGGAAAAUGUUUCAUUCUCUACCAGAGCUUCCACCAUUCUUGGAAGAAUUUUCACUAAGUGAAAGCAAUAUUAAGUUCAUACCUGAAAGCAUUAAAAAUCUUUCACAUAUGAGGAAACUAGCCUUCACAAAGUGCACGAGGCUGCAGUAUUUACCAGAGCUUCCACCAAAUUUGGAAGAUUUGUUUGUAAGUGGAUGUGACAUUGAAAGCUUGCCAACAAGCAUCAGAGAUCUAGUUCACUUGCGAAAGAUCACCUUAAUUGAGUGCAAGAAGCUCAAGGCUCUACCAGAGCUUCCACAGUGCCUGCAAUCAUUGUGUGCAGCUGACUGCACAUCACUUAAGAUUAUUCGAAGUACAAAGAAUAUCUUAAUAGAAGAUAGGUAUACAUUCUAUUGGAAUUGCAUAAACUUAGACCAAAAGUCGCGCAACAACAUCAUUGCAGAUGCACCCUUUGAGGCAGCUUUUACUUCUUUGAAAGAAAGAACACCUCUUGGUCCUCUUAUUUCUAUUUGUUUGCCAGGAACUGAAAUCCCAGACUGGUUCAGCCACCAAUCAACAAAUUCUUCACUGGACAUGGAAAUUCCUCUUGAGUGGUUCGUUGACUCGAUGUUCUUAGGAUUUGCUCUGUGCCUUGUAAUUGGUGGUUUCCAACGGAACAGUAAUGAAGGGUAUGAUCCAGAUAUCAAUUGUUAUCACUUUGUAAAAUCUGCCUCCUACUCUGACCCCAGUGUUCCCUUUCUUGGACAUUGCACAACUGUAAUGCAGGUCCCAAGAGGUUUUAAUUCAGAUCAUAUAUUUAUAUGCUACUAUCCCUCUUUUAAUGCCUCCAUAUUACAAGAUUUCAAGGAUUUAAGCUUGUACUAUGAUGCCAAUGACUUAAGACUCAGAGUAAUCUUUAAAUUCAAGGGUCCAUCUCAAAGGUUGGACAUUGUUAAGAAGUGCGGGGUCAGACCUCUUUUGAUCGCAAAUACUGAAAGGCUUCACAUAGAAAGUGAACUGCAACCUGAAUAGAAGGGAGUAUCAAAGUGUAACUAGGAUUGUCAAGAGAUAUAUUAACUGAGAUGAGAAAGAACCAGGGGAAUAACCUGAAGCGAACCAAAGCAAAGGUUUUAUUUAAAUCCAGUGGUCGCUGAGCUGAGAAAAAGAGUACAUCUUGAAACCAUAGGAGAACUUUAUCCACGUGUCUCAAUUCUUGCAGAGGUCCAAAACAGUUAGUCUGUUACAAAGUAAUGUCGUCAGAUGUACAAGGAUAUUCUGGCGUUCCUAAUGAGGAAAAUACAUUUUCUAUUUCCUUUUAUAUGGAUGAAAUCUUCAGUGCGUUCUACGUUACAGCAAUGAGUAAUCUGACAUUUUGAAGGUGCAUAGAUAAAUAUGAAGGACUAUGCUGAACCCAUAAUCAUCGUUUUGGCGCAAAUUAACCUGUGAUGAAAUUUCAAACUUAAAGACCUAAUAAUUCAUUCAAGUAACGUUAACCAUUACUCGAUCGAUUUAAUGACUCAAUAGUGUUAAAUAAUGCUAAUUGGACAUUUUAUUAUCAAACAAAUUUCACUAUACUCUCGCUUAAAAAAUUUGCCCAUUCUCUUUUUUAUGUAGAACUCACGUGAAAUCACCUAAUGAUAGAGUUUCUCUUCAAACAAGUAAUAGCUAAAG
This is an RNA transcript of Vigna angularis (adzuki bean), 4836 nucleotides long. It is a transcript of the gene named TMV resistance protein N, with no coding region annotated. The transcript has 5 exons. The record is from RefSeq and is a predicted model, not a curated record. Lineage: Eukaryota; Viridiplantae; Streptophyta; Magnoliopsida; Fabales; Fabaceae.